UACGAAGGGGGCUAGCGUUGCUCGGAAUCACUGGGCGUAAAGGGUGCGUAGGCGGGUCUUUAAGUCAGGGGUGAAAUCCUGGAGCUCAACUCCAGAACUGCCUUUGAUACUGAAGAUCUUGAGUUCGGGAGAGGUGAGUGGAACUGCGAGUGUAGAGGUGAAAUUCGUAGAUAUUGGGAAGAACACCGGUGGCGAAGGCGGCUCACUGGCUCGUUUCUGACGCUCAGGCGCGACAGCGUGGGGAUCAAACAGG
Molecule: ribosomal RNA, 253 nt
Filed under: uncultured bacterium
Lineage: Bacteria
Description: partial 16S ribosomal RNA
Rfam family: Bacterial small subunit ribosomal RNA
Source: RNAcentral